This 74-nucleotide non-coding RNA is filed under the name human gut metagenome. Its description in RNAcentral is "Cyclic di-GMP-I riboswitch". It matches the Rfam family "c-di-GMP-I riboswitch aptamer", at positions 6 to 83 of the family's 87-position model. From Rfam's summary of the family: GEMM was predicted in a large-scale screen for bacterial structured RNA regulatory elements. Genes associated with GEMM are involved in a diverse array of functions, including chemotaxis regulation, signal transduction, secretion and chitin. The record is from RNAcentral.
UAAUAGGCAAACCAUUUGAAAGAGUGGGACGCAAAGCCGUGAGUCUAAGGCGCAAGCUAUGGCUGUCUGGUUGC